CUCUGGUCUAGUAUGUAAGGAAUAGGAGGCCAUUUGGGCUCUGGUCUAGUAUGUAGGGAAUAGGAGGCCAUUUGGGCCCAUGGGGCUCUGGUCUAGUAUGUAGGGAAUAGGAGGCCAUUUGGGGCCUGGUCUAGUAUGUAGGGAAUAGGAGGCCAUUUUGGCCCAUGGGGAAUAGGAGGCCAUUUUGGCCCAUGGGGAAUAGGAGGCCAUUUGGGCCCAUGGGGAAUAGGAGGCCAUUUGGGCCCAUGGGGAAUAGGAGGCCAUUUUGUCGGCCCAUGGGGCUCUGGUCUAGUAUGUAGGGAAUAGGAGGUCAUUUGGGUCCAUAGGGCUCUGGUCUAGUAUGUAGGAAAUAGGAGGCCAUUUGGGUCCAUGGUGCUAUGGUCUAGUAUGUAGGGAAUAGGAGGCCAUUUGGGCUCUGGGCUAGUAUGUACGGAAUAGGAGGCCAUUUGGGCUCUGGUCUAGUAUGUAGGGAAUAGGAGGCCAUUUGGGACCAUGGGGCUCUGGUCUAGUAUGUAGGAAAUAGGAGGCCAUUUGGGCUCUGGUCUAGUAUGUAGGGAAUAGGAGGCCAUUUGGGCUCUGGUCUAGUAUGUAGGGAAUAGGAGGCCAUUUGGGCUCUGGUCUAGUAUGUAGGGAAUGGGAUGCCAUUUUGGCCCAUGGGGAAUAGGAGGCCAUUUAGGCCCAUGGGGAAUAGGAGGCCAUUUGGGCCCAUGGGGAAUAGGAGGCCAUUUGGGCCCAUGGGGAAUAGGAGGCCAUUUGGGCCCAUGGGGAAUAGGAGGCCAUUUGGGCCCAUGGGGAAUAGGAGGCCAUUUGGGCCCAUGGGGAAUAGGAGGCCAUUUGGGCCCAUGGGGAAUAGGAGGCCAUUUUGGGCCCAUGGGGCUCUGGUCUAGUAUGUAGGGA
Molecule: long non-coding RNA, 897 nt
Organism: Oncorhynchus tshawytscha (Chinook salmon)
Lineage: Eukaryota; Metazoa; Chordata; Actinopteri; Salmoniformes; Salmonidae
Source: Ensembl